This 253-nucleotide ribosomal RNA is filed under the name uncultured bacterium. Its description in RNAcentral is "partial 16S ribosomal RNA". It matches the Rfam family "Bacterial small subunit ribosomal RNA", at positions 524 to 776 of the family's 1533-position model. The record is from RNAcentral.
UACGUAGGGGGCAAGCGUUGUCCGGAAUUAUUGGGCGUAAAGAGCGCGUAGGCGGUCCGAUAAGUCGGCUGUGAAAGUCAGGGGCUCAACCCUUGAAAGCCGGCCGAUACUGUCGGACUAGAGUCCGGAAGAGGCAAGUGGAAUUCCCGGUGUAGCGGUGAAAUGCGCAGAUAUCGGGAGGAACACCAAUGGCGAAGGCAGCUUGCUGGGACGGUACUGACGCUGAGGCGCGAAAGCGUGGGGAGCAAACCGG